This 614-nucleotide ribosomal RNA is filed under the name uncultured bacterium. RNAcentral's name for it is "bacterial SSU rRNA". It matches the Rfam family "Bacterial small subunit ribosomal RNA", at positions 338 to 954 of the family's 1533-position model. The record is from RNAcentral.
CCUACGGGAGGCAGCAGUGAGGAAUAUUGGACAAUGGGCGCAAGCCUGAUCCAGCCAUGCCGCGUGCAGGAAGAAGCAUCUAUGGUGUGUAAACUGCUUUUGUACAGGAAGAAACACUCCCUCGUGAGGGAGCUUGACGGUACUGUAAGAAUAAGGACCGGCUAACUCCGUGCCAGCAGCCGCGGUAAUACGGAGGGUCCGAGCGUUAUCCGGAAUCAUUGGGUUUAAAGGGUCCGUAGGCGGUUUAAUAAGUCAGUGGUGAAAUCUGGUCGCUCAACGAUCAAACGGCCAUUGAUACUGUUAGACUUGAAUUAUAAGGAAGUAACUAGAAUAUGUAGUGUAGCGGUGAAAUGCUUAGAUAUUACAUGGAAUACCAAUUGCGAAGGCAGGUUACUACUUAUGGAUUGACGCUGAUGGACGAAAGCGUGGGGAGCGAACAGGAUUAGAUACCCUGGUAGUCCACGCCGUAAACGAUGGAUACUAGCUGUUCGGAGCAAUCUGAGUGGCUAAGCGAAAGUGAUAAGUAUCCACCUGGGGAGUAACGUUCGCAAGAAUGAAACUUCAAAUUGAAUUGAGGGCUUGAGACGNGCGACGGACGACGACGAGGGAGGAGG